RNAcentral lists this transfer RNA (76 nucleotides) under Klebsiella pneumoniae. RNAcentral describes it as "tRNA-Arg". The record is from RNAcentral. Lineage: Bacteria; Pseudomonadati; Pseudomonadota; Gammaproteobacteria; Enterobacterales; Enterobacteriaceae.
UUGCCUGUAGCUCAGAGGUAAGACCAGCUACUGUCUAAGCGGUUGCUCGCUGCUUCGAAUCCAGCCAAGCUAACCA